GGACCCGCCAUGUCAGUUCCAUCCUGUCAUCAUCCAUCUCACUCUCAUCUGAUCUGAUCAUAACACUUCUCAGUUCUGUCUCAAAAACACACACGCACAAUCACAUACUUUCAGUUCUCAUGUUUCCGUAAAUCAUCAGCAAAACAAAUGGCGAACAUAGGGAAGAAAAUUCUGAAUAAAGGAUGGUUAGCUGCACGGUCAACGGAGGUUGACCUCACCGGAGUAGAGCUGACCACCACUCAUCCUCCGUCCUCCUCACCUACUUCUCUUCCCUGGAUGGAAGCUUGUGUUCCCGGAACUGUACUGGCAACGCUUCUAAGGAAUAAACUCAUACCUGAUCCUUUCUAUGGGUUGGAGAAUGAGUCGAUUAUAGACAUUGCCGAUUCAGGGAGAGAUUACUACACUUUCUGGUUCUUCACAACUUUUCAUUGUAAGCCGAUUUUUUCUCAGACGAGUAGUCAGCAUGUGGACCUGAAUUUCCGGGCUAUAAACUAUUCUGCCGAGGUGUAUAUGAAUGGGCACAGAAGGGUCUUGCCAAAGGGAAUGUUCCGAAGACAUUCACUCGAUGUAACUGAUAUUCUGCAUCCUGAUGGUCAGAAUUUACUUGCAGUUAUGGUUUAUCCUCCUGAUCAUCCUGGAAAGAUUCCUCCAGAGGGGGGCCAAGGUGGCGACCAUGAGAUUGGAAAAGAUGUUGCUACACAAUAUGUUGAGGGCUGGGACUGGAUGGCUCCUAUAAGGGAUAGGAACACUGGCAUCUGGGAUGAGGUAUCUGUUUCUGUUACUGGGCCUGUUAAAAUAGUGGAUCCUCACUUGGUCUCAUCAUUAUUUGAUGAUUGUACGAGAGCUUAUUUGCAUGCAUCCACUGAACUGGUAAACAAAAGUUCUUCGGUUGCUGAGUGUGACUUGAUCAUACAAGUGACAACAGAACUUGAAGGAAACAUUUGCUCACUAGAGCAUCUUCGGAAGGAACACCUGUCAAUCUAUCCUGGAGCUCAUGUCCAGUAUACGUUUUCCAAGGCUUUCUUUUACAAGCCCAAUCUAUGGUGGCCAAAUGGUAUGGGAAAGCAAUCCUUGUACAAUGUUGAAAUUUCUGUUGAGGUGAAAGGUUUUGCGGAGUCUGAUUCAUGGAGCCAUCCAUUUGGAUUUCGCAAAAUUGAGAGUGACAUUGAUAGUGCAACUGGAGGAAGGUUGUUUAAGGUGAAUGAGCAGCCCAUCUUUAUACGGGGAGGAAAUUGGAUAUUGUCUGAUGGACUAUUACGACUAUCAGAUAAACGUUAUAAAACAGAUAUUAAAUUUCAUGCUGAUAUGAACUUCAACAUGAUACGUUGUUGGGGUGGGGGGCUAGCUGAGAGACCUGAGUUUUACCAUUACUGUGAUAUCUAUGGGCUGCUGGUUUGGCAAGAGUUUUGGAUAACUGGAGAUGUUGAUGGACGAGGUGUCCCGAUUUCAAACCCUGAUGGUCCUUUAGAUCAUGACCUUUUCCUGCUCUGUGCAAGAGACACUGUCAAGCUUCUCAGGAAUCAUCCUAGUCUUGCUCUGUGGGUAGGAGGAAAUGAACAAGUUCCGCCAGAUGAUAUCAACACAGCUUUAAAACAUGAUCUGAGACUCUAUCCAUAUUUCCAGAAACUUGAUGAAAUUAAAAUAUCACCAGAAGAAAUCUCCCUAGUUUUAAAGGAUCCUAGUCAAUACCUUGAUGGUACACGCAUUUAUGUACAAGGAUCUAUGUGGGAUGGCUUUGCAAAUGGUAAGGGAGAUUUUACAGAUGGUCCAUAUGAAAUUCAGAACCCUGAAAAUUUUUUUAAGGACGACUUCUACAUGUAUGGCUUCAACCCAGAGGUUGGUUCUGUUGGAAUGCCUGUUGCAGCUACUAUCAGGGCAACAAUGCCUCCAGAGGGAUGGCAAAUUCCUUUGUUCAAGGAACUAUCAAAUGGCUAUGUCGAAGAGGUCCCGAAUCCUGUAUGGGAUUACCAUAAAUACAUCCCUUAUUCAAAACCUAACUUGGUUCAUGAUCAAAUAUUACAUUACGGCACCACAAAGGAUCUUGAUGAUUUCUGUCUCAAGGCGCAACUAGUGAAUUAUAUUCAGUACCAAGCUCUGUUGGAAGGCUGGACUUCUCGAAUGUGGAGUAAAUACACAGGUGUUCUGAUUUGGAAAACACAAAAUCCUUGGACAGGUCUAAGAGGCCAGUUUUAUGAUCAUCUUCAUGAUCAAACAGCUGGAUUUUAUGGUUGUCGCUCUGCAGCUGAACCAAUUCAUGUCCAGCUGAAUCUGGCAACAUAUUUUAUAGAGGUGGUCAACACGACAGCCAGUAUAUUGUACGAUGUGGCAAUAGAAGUAUCUGUGUGGGAACUGGAUGGAGAUUGUCCAUAUUACAAAGUAACUGAGGUGCUCUCUAUUCCAUCUAAAAGAACUGUACCUGUAACUGAGAUGACGUACCCAAAGUCUAUGAAUCCAAAGCCGGUCUACUUUCUGCUUCUGAAACUCUAUGAUGUAUCUGAUCACAGCAUAUUAUCAAGGAACUUUUAUUGGUUGCACCUUCCUGGAGAUGAUUAUAAGUUAUUGGAACCAUACAGGAAAAAGACGGUACCCCUCAAGAUAACUUCACAGACAAUGGUAGAUGGGGAUAGUUAUGAAAUGCAAAUGCAUGUAGAAAACAUUUCGAAGAAACCAGAAUCCAAAGACCUGUUAUACAAGAAUAAUUUUUUCAACAGUAAUGGUGAUAAAGAUUUUGGUAUGUCCUCAUCCAAAACAGUACAGAGUCAUAAAGAGCAUCAAGUUAAUUUCCUUCAGAGGAUGUCUCGUAAAUCCUCAAAGGGACGUGAUGCUUUGAGGACUGAGAUUAUCAAUGGAUCUGAGACUGGUGUUGCUUUCUUUCUUCAUUUUUCUGUUCAUUCUUCAAAGAAGGAUCAGAAAGUAGGGGAAGACACAAGAAUUCUUCCAGUUCAUUAUUCAGACAAUUAUUUCUCUCUGGUUCCUGGUGAAGUCAUGACUAUCGCUCUCUCCUUUGAGGUCCCUCAAGGUGUCACGCCACAGGUUAAACUUCAGGGUUGGAAUUACCAUGGUGCUCAUACUGUUUAUCAUUGAGUCAGAAGGUACCGACUAUAAGUCUAUAACAAGAUAUGUCGACCCCCACAUCUACCAGCUAAUAUCACUUCCCUCUGCUUCUGCCGUCUCCUGGACAAAAUUAAACCACCUUCUUACUGGUUCUCCCUCCUUUGUAGCAAUGCAAAAAGUCUCAAAACAACUGAUAGUACCAUUAAUGGCCAAGCAGUGGAAAUUUGUUAGCAUAUUGGUGGGGCGAAGAGCAGAGGCAGCUUCUGUUCUCAGUUUUCUUUGUCUCGGCAGAGUGUUAUAUUAGCAAGCUCUCUGUAAAUAUGAUACCUAAGAGAGAGGGAGUAUUUUACAAUGUAUUUGUGAAGAAGUUUUCUGACAGUAAACAGACAUUAAGCCAAUAUUCUGCCUGCUAUAAAACUCGGGACAUUUUGUA
RNA transcript from Daucus carota subsp. sativus, 3487 nucleotides. It is a transcript of the gene named mannosylglycoprotein endo-beta-mannosidase, with no coding region annotated. The transcript is spliced from 13 exons. Lineage: Eukaryota; Viridiplantae; Streptophyta; Magnoliopsida; Apiales; Apiaceae. The record is from RefSeq and is a predicted model, not a curated record.